GAUGAACGCUGGCGGCGUGCCUAAUACAUGCAAGUCGAACGCUUCACUUCGGUGAAGAGUGGCGAACGGGUGAGUAAUACAUAAGUAACCUGGCAUCUACAGGGGGAUAGCUGAUGGAAACGUCAGCUAAGACCGCAUAGGUGUAGAGAUCGCAUGAACUCUAUAUGAAAAGUGCUACGGGACUGGUAGAUGAUGGACUUAUGGCGCAUUAGCUUGUUGGUAGGGUAACGGCCUACCAAGGCGACGAUGCGUAGCCGACCUGAGAGGGUGACCGGCCACACUGGGACUGAGACACGGCCCAGACUCCUACGGGAGGCAGCAGUAGGGAAUUUUCGGCAAUGGGGGAAACCCUGACCGAGCAACGCCGCGUGAAGGAAGAAGUAAUUCGUUAUGUAAACUUCUGUCAUAGAGGAUGAACGGUGGAUAUAGGGAAUGAUAUCCAAGUGACGGUACUCUAUAAGAAAGCCACGGCUAACUACGUG
RNAcentral lists this ribosomal RNA (482 nucleotides) under uncultured bacterium. Its description in RNAcentral is "partial 16S ribosomal RNA". It matches the Rfam family "Bacterial small subunit ribosomal RNA", at positions 28 to 507 of the family's 1533-position model. The record is from RNAcentral.